AUUGAACGCUGGCGGCAUGCCUAACACAUGCAAGUCGAGCGGUAGAGAGGUGCUUGCAUCUCUUGAGAGCGGCGGACGGGUGAGUAAUGCCUAGGAAUCUGCCUAGUGGUGGGGGAUAACGUUCGGAAACGGACGCUAAUACCGCAUACGUCCUACGGGAGAAAGCGGGGGGAUCUUCGGACCUCGCGCCAUUAGAUGAGCCUAGGUCGGAUUAGCUAGUUGGUGAGGUAAUGGCUCACCAAGGCGACGAUCCGUAACUGGUCUGAGAGGAUGAUCAGUCACACUGGAACUGAGACACGGUCCAGACUCCUACGGGAGGCAGCAGUGGGGAAUAUUGGACAAUGGGCGAAAGCCUGAUCCAGCCAUGCCGCGUGUGUGAAGAAGGUCUUCGGAUUGUAAAGCACUUUAAGUUGGGAGGAAGGGUAGUAACCUAAUACGUUGCUACUUUGACGUUACCGACAGAAUAAGCACCGGCUAACUUCGUGCCAGCAG
Molecule: ribosomal RNA, 492 nt
Filed under: uncultured bacterium
Lineage: Bacteria
Description: bacterial SSU rRNA
Rfam family: Bacterial small subunit ribosomal RNA
Source: RNAcentral